Molecule: ribosomal RNA, 253 nt
Filed under: uncultured bacterium
Lineage: Bacteria
Description: partial 16S ribosomal RNA
Rfam family: Bacterial small subunit ribosomal RNA
Source: RNAcentral
UACAGAGGGUGCUAGCGUUGUUCGGAAUUACUGGGCGUAAAGGGCUCGUAGGUGGCCAACUAAGUCAACCGUGAAAUCCCUCGGCUUAACCGGGGAACUGCGCUUGUUACUGGCAAGCUAGAGUGUGGCAGAGGGGGGUGGAAUUCCACGUGUAGCAGUGAAAUGCGUAGAGAUGUGGAGGAACACCGAUGGCGAAGGCAGCCCCCUGGGCUAACACUGACGCUCAUGCACGAAAGCGUGGGGAGCAAACAGG